AGAUUGAACGCUGGCGGCAGGCCUAACACAUGCAAGUCGAGCGGUUGAAGAUAGCUUGCUAUCUGAUGCAGCGGCGGACGGGUGAGUAAUGCAUGGGAAUCUGCCUGGUAGUGGGGGACAACGUUUCGAAAGGAACGCUAAUACCGCAUACGCCCUACGGGAGAAAGGGGGGGAUCUUCGGACCUCCCGCUAUCAGAUGAGCCCAUGUCAGAUUAGCUAGUUGGUGGGGUAAAGGCUCACCAAGGCGACGAUCUGUAACUGGUCUGAGAGGAUGAUCAGUCACACUGGAACUGAGACACGGUCCAGACUCCUACGGGAGGCAGCAGCGAGGAAUUUUCCGCAAUGGGCGAAAGCCUGACGGAGCAAUGCCGCGUGGGGGAAGAAGGCCUUCGGGUUGUAAACCCCUGUUGCGAGGGAAGAAGAUCUGACGAUACCUCGCGAGGAAGCCACGGCUAACUACGUGCCAGCAGCCGCGGUAAUACGUAGGAUGCGAGCGUUGUCCGGAAUUAUUGGGCGUAAAGAGAACGUAGGCGGUUUCUUAAGUUUGGGCUUAAAGACUGGGGCUCAACCCCAGGAGCGGCUCGAAAACUGAGAGACUAGAGGAUGGCAGAGGAAAGUGGAAUUCCCAGUGUAGCGGUGAAAUGCGUAGAUAUUGGGAGGAACACCAGUGGCGAAAGCGACUUUCUGGGCCAUUCCUGACGCUGAGGUUCGAAAGCUCGGGGAGCAAACAGGAUUAGAUACCCUGGUAGUCCGAGCCGUAAACGAUGGAUACUAAGUGUCGAGGGUAUCAACUCCCUCGGUGCUGUAGCUAACGCGUUAAGUAUCCCGCCUGGGGAGUACGGUCGCAAGGCUA
Molecule: ribosomal RNA, 853 nt
Filed under: uncultured bacterium
Lineage: Bacteria
Description: bacterial SSU rRNA
Rfam family: Bacterial small subunit ribosomal RNA
Source: RNAcentral